GACCUGAUCCAUAAAUGGACCCGAUCCAAAUAAAAGAAUGAGAAGAGUUUUCAAAUCUUCUCUUAGCUACUCCUUGUCUAGUUUUCCAAAAAACACUAAACCCUUUCCCUCUUUUUCAGCCGCUUCAUCUCUUGAUUGCGGUGGGAAAGCUCCAAGUGACAAUAGAUGUUCUUCAUUUCUGCCUAGAUAUGACGUCGAUUGUGCUAUCUGGUAUCACUUCUGACCAGUUCCUCAGAUGACCAAACCAACAAGCCUUGUUUGAAGUUUUUUGAUAGCUAGGCUAUCUAAUUUUAGUUUUAUUUUUGCACCGGUGUAGAGUCUUCUGCUAUGAACUUAUUGUGCUCUCUCAUUCCACGCAUAACUGUUGAUUUGUAGUUAUGACUGUUGCUGAUACACAGGUAACCAGGAUCAGCAUCCAGCGCCUCGUUGAUCCAUUUGAGCACUCAGAGUCAGUUGGUGAGCCUCUUUGCUUUCCAGAGGUCUCCUUUUACAUUGCUUUAGUACUUUAGUUGUUAGGAUGAUCGGGGGUCUUGUCCCAACAUCCCUCCUUGUUUUAGAGGCUUCAUAGGCAGUUAGUAGUGCAAUUGUCUUAACAUUAUUAUUUCUUAUGUUAUGACUUGAGUUGCCAUCUAUGGCUAGUUGAAUAUUUUAUCCUUAAACGUUUUGAGCUUAA
Solanum tuberosum (potato) is the source of this 673-nucleotide long non-coding RNA. RefSeq lists it as uncharacterized. The record is from RefSeq and is a predicted model, not a curated record. The transcript has 3 exons. Lineage: Eukaryota; Viridiplantae; Streptophyta; Magnoliopsida; Solanales; Solanaceae.